GGUAAGUCGAGUGGAUCCGGGAAGAGGCCUGGUGUCUUCAGGUGUGGACAAAUCCUCCAAGAUUUAACUUCCAAGAAAACCGGCGGCGGAGCGGGUGGAGGAGGCGAGGAUGUGUGGCCAAUGCACGCGGAGUGCAAGGCAAGCCGCCUAGUUGGGAGCCGCAAGAGCCUGCCUGGUGUGGCAGGCACACGGAACCCAAUCCCUGUCUGUCCGCUGCGGCCUGGGAGGGGAGCGCCGGCCUCACCAGAGGAAGGAGCACGAGGGGAGGAGUUCCGAGAGGAAAUAAUUAGUGAAAUAUUUGCAGAAGAUGCUGGGAUGUGGAUUUAAUUCCGGAUGGACAGUGGUGCUUCUGAUUCCCUCAGUCUGUUUCCCCACCCACGAUCUCCUCUUUCCUUGGCCUAGACACACCAAAAAUAAUUCAAUAAAAUAAAAAUAAAAAUUUAAAAAUC
Molecule: long non-coding RNA, 449 nt
Organism: Homo sapiens (human)
Lineage: Eukaryota; Metazoa; Chordata; Mammalia; Primates; Hominidae
Gene: FOXD3-AS1
Product: FOXD3 antisense RNA 1
Source: Ensembl